AGAGGGAAACAACCCUGACCUCCAUCUAAGGUCCCUAAGUCAUGGCUAAGUGGGAAAGGAUGUGAGACUCCCAAAACAACCAGGAUGUUGGCUUAGAAGCAGCCAUCAUUUAAAGAAAGCGUAACAGCUCACUGGUCUAAAUAAGGGGUCUUGCGCCGAAAAUGUACCGGGGCUAAAGCCAUGCACCGAAGCUGAGGAUGUGCACUUUGUGCACGUGGUAGCGGAGCGUUCCGUAAGCCUGUGAAGGGAGACCCGUGAGGGCUCCUGGAGGUAUCGGAAGUGCGAAUGUUGACAUGAGUAACGAUAAAGGGAGUGAGAGACUCCCUCGCCGAAAGACCAAGGGUUCCUGCUUAAAGUUAAUCUGAGCAGGGUGAGCCGGCCCCUAAGGCGAGGCCGAAAGGCGUAGUCGAUGGGAAUGCAGUUAAUAUUCUGCAGCUUGGUGGUAGUGACGGAUGCCGUGUGUUGUAUCUCCUUAUUGGAUUGGGGGUGCAGCGAAGGUGUUCCAGGAAAUAGCUCCACCGUAUAAACCGUACCCGAAACCGACACAGGUGGUCAGGUA
Molecule: ribosomal RNA, 559 nt
Filed under: Protocruzia adhaerens
Lineage: Eukaryota; Ciliophora; Spirotrichea
Description: Protocruzia adherens partial Bacterial large subunit ribosomal RNA
Rfam family: Bacterial large subunit ribosomal RNA
Source: RNAcentral